AUUUAUAGCUCUAGGAUCGGCCUGUACGGUAUCAGCUAGUUGGUGAGGUAAUGGCUCACCAAGGCAAUGACACCUAACUGGUUUGAGAGGAUGAUCAGUCACACUGGAACUGAGACACGGUCCAGACUCCUACGGGAGGCAGCAGUGGGGAAUAUUGCACAAUGGACGAAAGUCUGAUGCAGCAACGCCGCGUGGAGGAUGACACAUUUCGGUGCGUAAACUCCUUUUAUAUAGGAAGAUAAUGACGGUACUAUAUGAAUAAGCACCGGCUAACUCCGUGCCAGCAGCCGCGGUAAUACGGAGGGUGCAAGCGUUACUCGGAAUUACUGGGCGUAAAGAGCGUGUAGGCGGGUAAAUAAGUUGGAAGUGAAAUCCUAUGGCUCAACCAUAGAACUGCUUCCAAAACUGUUAACCUAGAAUGUGGGAGAGGUAGAUGGAAUUUCUGGUGUAGGGGUAAAAUCCGUAGAUAUCAGAAGGAAUACCGAUUGCGAAGGCGAUCUACUGGAACAUAAUUGACGCUGAGACGCGAAAGCGUGGGGAGCAAACAGGAUUAGAUACCCUGGUAGUCCACGCCCUAAACGAUGUACACUAGUUGUUGUGAGGCUAGACCUUGCAGUAAUGCAGUUAACACAUUAAGUGUACCGCCUGGGGAGUACGGUCGCAAGAUUAAAACUCAAAGGAAUAGACGGGGACCCGCACAAGCGGUGGAGCAUGUGGUUUAAUUCGACAUACGCGAAGAACCUUACCUGGUCUUGACAUAGAAAGAACUUUCCAGAGAUGGAUUGGUGCCUGCUUGCAGGAGCUUUCAUACAGGUGCUGCACGGCUGUCGUCAGCUCGUGUCGUGAGAUGUUGGGUUAAGUCCCGCAACGAGCGCAACCCUCGUCGUUAGUUGCUAACAGUUCGGCUGAGAACUCUAACGAGACUGCCUACGCAAGUAGGAGGAAGGUGAGGACGACGUCAAGUCAUCAUGGCCCUUACGACCAGGGCUACACACGUGCUACAAGGGGGUAUACAAAGAGCAGCGAUACGGUGACGUGGAGCGAAUCUCAAAAAUGCCUCCCAGUUCGGAUAGUAGUCUGCAACUCGACUACUUGAAGUUGGAAUCGCUAGUAAUCGUAGAUCAGCUAUGCUACGGUGAAUACGUUCCCGGGUCUUGUACUCACCGCCCGUCACACCAUGGGAGUUGAAUUCAUUCGAAGCGGGGAUGCUAAAAUAGCUACCUUCCACAGUGGAUUUAGCGACUGGGGUGAAGUCGAAACAAGGUA
This 1266-nucleotide ribosomal RNA is filed under the name metagenome. RNAcentral describes it as "bacterial SSU rRNA". It matches the Rfam family "Bacterial small subunit ribosomal RNA", at positions 210 to 1498 of the family's 1533-position model. The record is from RNAcentral.